UGAUAUUAUGCCAUGACAUUGUGUCAAUAUGCGAUGAUGUGUGUGAUGGCACAGCGUCAUCACGUGGUGACGCAACAUCAUGACGUAAGACGUCACAACGGCCAAUUAA
Molecule: non-coding RNA, 109 nt
Filed under: Capra hircus (goat)
Lineage: Eukaryota; Metazoa; Chordata; Mammalia; Artiodactyla; Bovidae
Also listed under: 1 other name
Description: microRNA mir-592 (MIR592)
Rfam family: mir-592 microRNA precursor family (bases 4-90)
Source: RNAcentral